CAAAAAGUAGUUUAAAGAAAAUAUAAACUUUGGGAGUUUAUGAUAUAGAAUUCUAUCUUUUUGA
Molecule: transfer RNA, 64 nt
Filed under: Ceriodaphnia dubia
Lineage: Eukaryota; Metazoa; Arthropoda; Branchiopoda; Diplostraca; Daphniidae
Description: tRNA-Pro
Source: RNAcentral